UACAGAGGUCUCAAGCGUUGUUCGGAUUCAUUGGGCGUAAAGGGUGCGUAGGCGGCGCGGUAAGUCGGGUGUGAAAUUUCGAGGCUUAACUUCGAAACUGCAUUCGAUACUGCCGUGCUUGAGGACUGGAGAGGAGACUGGAAUUUACGGUGUAGCGGUGAAAUGCGUAGAUAUCGUAAGGAAGACCAGUGGCGAAGGCGGGUCUCUGGGCCGAUACUGACGCUGAGGAGCGAAAGCGUGGGGAGCGAUCAGG
RNAcentral lists this ribosomal RNA (253 nucleotides) under uncultured bacterium. RNAcentral's name for it is "partial 16S ribosomal RNA". It matches the Rfam family "Bacterial small subunit ribosomal RNA", at positions 524 to 776 of the family's 1533-position model. The record is from RNAcentral.